Molecule: ribosomal RNA, 497 nt
Filed under: uncultured bacterium
Lineage: Bacteria
Description: partial 16S ribosomal RNA
Rfam family: Bacterial small subunit ribosomal RNA
Source: RNAcentral
GAUGAACGCUGGCGGCGUGCCUAAUACAUGCAAGUCGAGCGAACAGACGAGGAGCUUGCUCCUCUGACGUUAGCGGCGGACGGGUGAGUAACACGUGGAUAACCUACCUAUAAGACUGGGAUAACUUCGGGAAACCGGAGCUAAUACCGGAUAAUAUAUUGAACCGCAUGGUUCAAUAGUGAAAGACGGUUUUGCUGUCACUUAUAGAUGGAUCCGCGCCGCAUUAGCUAGUUGGUAAGGUAACGGCUUACCAAGGCAACGAUGCGUAGCCGACCUGAGAGGGUGAUAGGCCACACUGGAACUGAGACACGGUCCAGACUCCUACGGGAGGCAGCAGUAGGGAAUCUUCCGCAAUGGGCGAAAGCCUGACGGAGCAACGUCGCGUGAGUGAUGAAGGUCUUCGGAUCGUAAAACUCUGUUAUUAGGGAAGAACAAAUGUGUAAGUAACUAUGCACGUCUUGACGGUACCUAAUCAGAAAGCCACGGCUAACUACGUG